GAAGGUCACUAUGAUGGGCUAGGAAGGGACACAAAGGGUUGGUGGCAGCAGAGUCUUGGAUGUGCACAUCAGAUACAGCAUCCUGGCAAGAAGAAAAUGGAGGGAGGGAAGCAAUGAAGGAAAUGAAAUGCUUAUUUUUACCAGGUGCUAGAUUUUUCCCAGAGGCCAUCUCCUCAAAUCCUUAUGGCAAAACUCAGAGGCACCUCUGAGACACACUCGUCCUGCAGCCUCAUGUGACUGCCAGACAGACUCAGCUCCUGGUUCGAAGAAGAGAACCCCAAGAUGUAAGGGCACCUCCCAAGCUUGCGGCUGUGUCCUCACGCCACACCUUCUCAUCGAUCACCCGGACUCUGCGUGAGAAAUGAUUUUAUAAGCGAGUUGGCUUUGAGAAGCACAGAGCAGCAGCCAUUGAACAUAUGCUUCUAGAGCAAUUUAAGAGAAAGAAGAAAAAAAACUACCCCUGAAUGGAGACAAAUGCCAUGGGUGGUAGCCCCUGAGGUUCAGAGUCUGGUGUUUUGGGAAUGAAGGGGGUGAAAGGAAACGCAAGCCAAGAACUAAGGAUCAGCAGUGACCGUCUCCCAUCCCUGCCACCCACAGCAAGCACUAGCUAUCCAGCCCUGGGACAGGGUGCUUCGUCUUCAUUUUCAAGGCUUCACCAGCGGCCUGUCUAACUCUGUCCCCUAGCUUCUAUGAACUAAAUAUAAAUAUCAGCCACACCCUGGGCUGUGUGCACACUACCCACCUAACUCUCCAGGCAGUCCCACGUUGAGGUGCAAUUGCGCAUACGAGAACAUUAAUACAGCAUUGCGCAGUGUCAUUAACUAGUGCAUCUGUGCAGCAGGAAGCCUGAGCCCAGACCAGCGCUCCAUCAAGGUUACAGGGGCCCUUCAGAUUUGGCAUCCGAUCCCAAGGCCGCCAAUCCCAAUGUGAGUGGCGCUGGGUACGAGCCACUCCCCUUCCUGGGUUGGCUUCCACACCCGCAGAACGUGGAUGGCGAUGCCAUUUGGCUGGUGUGCUGUGUGGAUUCCAAAAUCCAAAGUUAUACUUAAAAGCAGCUUAAAAGA
This is a long non-coding RNA of Suricata suricatta (meerkat), 1064 nucleotides long. RefSeq lists it as uncharacterized. The transcript has 4 exons. The record is from RefSeq and is a predicted model, not a curated record. Lineage: Eukaryota; Metazoa; Chordata; Mammalia; Carnivora; Herpestidae.